UAUCACUCUGCCCCACCUCCUACCCCCGCCUUCACUGCUUCCAUUUGAAAAAAAGCGGCGGGAGAUGAGUCCGAGAGUUAGGAGUAUUUAAUAUUUCAGGCCAACUGGUAAAAGAGUUGUCUGUACACUCUGUCAAACUUCACUUGGAAACACACAGGAGUUGUUCAAGACGUUUGGAGCGUUUUUUUUCUCUCCAUAUCUCCUCCGGGGCUCCAAAGAUGCGCUCACAGAAAAGGAAAAGACAACAAAGCAGUUCGCCGUCUUCACAACUCUGAGACACACUGUAGCAGGCGCUACGAACCGGAGCAAGGGCUAUGACCUAUAUUUGCUCGGGGCUGUCUGCGGGUCCAGAUUUACAUGACGCGGAUAAUGACGCCACUGUGUCUGCCUGUAAGACAUGACGAGACAGUACACAGGAGCUUCAGGUAGAAACAACCAGAUGUGGCAUCGCGGGCAGAAGCUGUGAAGAGUUCAGCUCGGAG
Molecule: long non-coding RNA, 482 nt
Organism: Perca flavescens (yellow perch)
Lineage: Eukaryota; Metazoa; Chordata; Actinopteri; Perciformes; Percidae
Exons: 4
Source: RefSeq, a predicted model, not a curated record